Molecule: ribosomal RNA, 377 nt
Filed under: uncultured bacterium
Lineage: Bacteria
Description: bacterial SSU rRNA
Rfam family: Bacterial small subunit ribosomal RNA
Source: RNAcentral
UAAGACAGAGGGUGCAAACGUUGCUCGGAAUCACUGGGCGUAAAGGGCGUGUAGGCGGGAAUGUAAGUCGGGCGUGAAAUCCCUAGGCUCAACCUAGGAACUGCACUCGAAACUGCGUUUCUUGAGUAUCGGAGAGGAAAGCGGAAUACCUGGUGUAGAGGUGAAAUUCGUAGAUAUCAGGUGGAACACCAGUGGCGAAGGCGGCUUUCUGGACGAUAACUGACGCUGAGACGCGAAAGCGUGGGGAGCAAACAGGAUUAGAUACCCUGGUAGUCCACGCCGUAAACGAUGAGUGCUAGGUGCUGUGGGUAUUGACCCCCGCGGUGCCGAAGCUAACGCAUUAAGCACUCCGCCUGGGAAGUACGGUCGCAAGACUA